GACGAACGCUGGCGGCGUGCUUAACACAUGCAAGUCGAACGGAAAGGACCUGCUUGCAGGGUACUCGAGUGGCGAACGGGUGAGUAACACGUGGGUGAUCUGCCCUGUACUUCGGGAUAAGCCUGGGAAACUGGGUGUAAUACAGGAUAGGAGACAUUCUUAGUGUGAUGGUUGGAAAGUUUUUUCGGUGUAGGAUGAGCUCGCGGCCUUUUAGCUUGUUGGUGGGGUAAUGGCCUACCAAGGAGGCGAUGGGUAGCCGGCCCGGGAGGGUGGACGGCCACAUUUGGGCCGGGGUACGGCCCAGACUCCUACGGGAGGCAGGAGGUGGGAAAAAUUCACAAUGGGCGCAAGGCUGAUUCAGCGACGCCGGGGUGGGGAUGACGGCCUUCGGGGUGUAAACUCCUUUCGCGAGGGACGAAGCUGUUUGUGACGGUACCUAGAGAAGAAGCACCGGCUAACUACGUG
Molecule: ribosomal RNA, 465 nt
Filed under: uncultured bacterium
Lineage: Bacteria
Description: partial 16S ribosomal RNA
Rfam family: Bacterial small subunit ribosomal RNA
Source: RNAcentral